Molecule: ribosomal RNA, 408 nt
Filed under: uncultured bacterium
Lineage: Bacteria
Description: partial 16S ribosomal RNA
Rfam family: Bacterial small subunit ribosomal RNA
Source: RNAcentral
AGUGAACGCUGGCGGCGUGCCUAAUACAUGCAAGUCGAACGGAGUGGCGCACGGGUGAGUAAUAUAUAGCUAAUCUGCCCCUUGCUGGAGGACAACAGUUAGAAAUGACUGCUAAUACUCCAUAGCAAGGGAUGAGACUAUAUCGUAUCAGCUAGUCGGUGGGGUAACGGCCUACCGAGGCGAUGACGCGUAACUGGUCUGAGAGGAUGAUCAGUCAAAUUUGAAGUGAGACACGGUCCAAACUCCUUCGGGAGGGAGCAGUAGGGAAUAUUGCGCAAUCGGGGAAUCCCUGACGCAGCAACGGGUCGUGGAGGAUGACACUUUUCGGGGCGGACACUCCUUUUGUUAGGGAAGCGUUACCUAACGAAUAAGCACCGGCUAACUCCGUGCCAGCAGCCGCGGUAAUUC